This 253-nucleotide ribosomal RNA is filed under the name uncultured bacterium. RNAcentral's name for it is "partial 16S ribosomal RNA". It matches the Rfam family "Bacterial small subunit ribosomal RNA", at positions 524 to 776 of the family's 1533-position model. The record is from RNAcentral.
GACAGAGGUGCCGAGCGUUAGGCGGAAUCACUGGGCUUACAGCGUGUGUAGGCGGGCCGUUAAGUACCUUGUGAAAUCCCCCGGCUCAACCGGGGAAUGGCUGGGUAUACUGGCGGUCUUGAGCGAUCUAGGGGCAGAUGGAACAAGUGGUGGAGCGGUGAAAUGCGUAGAUAUCACUUGGAACGCCAAAGGUGAAGACAGUCUGCUGGGGAUCUGCUGACGCUGAGACACGAAAGCCAGGGGAGCGAACGGG